RNAcentral lists this microRNA (24 nucleotides) under Marchantia polymorpha subsp. ruderalis. Lineage: Eukaryota; Viridiplantae; Streptophyta; Marchantiopsida; Marchantiales; Marchantiaceae. The record is from RNAcentral.
CGAGGUUCAUGGAAAUUUCUGAGA